UACGUAGGGGGCAAGCGUUGUCCGGAUUUAUUGGGCGUAAAGAGCGUGUAGGCGGCUGGGUAGGUCCGUUGUGAAAACUCGAGGCUCAACCUCGAGACGCCGAUGGAAACCCCCCAGCUAGAGUCCGGAAGAGGAGAGUGGAAUUCCUGGUGUAGUGGUGAAAUGCGCAGAUAUCAGGAAGAACACCCGUGGCUAAGGCGGCUCUCUAGUACGGUACUGACGCUGAGACGCGAAAGCGUGGGGAGCGAACAGU
Molecule: ribosomal RNA, 253 nt
Filed under: uncultured bacterium
Lineage: Bacteria
Description: partial 16S ribosomal RNA
Rfam family: Bacterial small subunit ribosomal RNA
Source: RNAcentral